CUGCAGGCAACAAAACAACUUUAUCUAAAUUAAAGGGAUUCUAUAGGUGUGUUUUUCCUGGCACUAUAGGUUUAAUUGGACUCCCAUACUUUAGCCACUUACCUGAAUCUAGCGCUGGGUCAGGUUUUGCCCACGCUUGCCAGCCGGCAGGGGAGACCCAAUGCACAUACUUGGUAAUGGCUUAGAGCUGCAAUGUAAACUCUGGAACUGUAAUGUUUUACAUUGCAGCACUAAGUGCAAAAGGGUCCCAGCACCCAGACUACUUCAAUUAGAUGUUGUUAUGGUGUAUAGAAGCACUCUUACCUCAAGGGGUUAAAACUUUCUCAAACUGUUUAACUCCAAAGGUACCUCCAGCAUUGAUAUCCUCCCCUCCCCCUGCGGCUUCAGAUUUAGGAAGGGUGUGGUGGUGUUUGGCCGAGAGUGGUUGACUGGGGCUCUUAGUGAGAGACGUAUCUCAAGUGAAUGGCGAGUCACUGAUUGACUAAAAGCACUAGUUAACCACUCUCAGCCAAUCAGCUUUCUGGUGGCACCCCGCACUUCCUGAAUCUGAAAAAACAAGCUGGAUUAGGCCUGUGGGGGUGGACGUAGUUGCUGGAAGCAGUAAUUGGGUUAUACUGUUUGAGGACGGUUUAACCGUUUUGAGGUA
Non-coding RNA from Pelobates cultripes (western spadefoot toad), 646 nucleotides. Lineage: Eukaryota; Metazoa; Chordata; Amphibia; Anura; Pelobatidae. The record is from the annotation of a GenBank genome assembly.